AGCAAACUAUAACUGUUUUUGAAUUAUAACAUUGAUGUGUUUCAAAUAAUAUCUGGCAAACUUAUAAACACCUUUACUCCUUAUGUAUUAUGUUGAGCAUAAGGAAUGAUUUAUCAAUUACAACUAAAUGGAUUUUAGGUAAGAAAAUAACCAAACUAAUCAAAUUAUUAUGGGAAUAAUUUGGGGUUCUUUAACGUUUGUUUUAUAUCUAUAUAAAGUUAUUAGAUAAACUAUGUCUGAUUCAGUUUAUCUCUGUAUUAUUUGAAUGUAUUGCCAGAUAAUCUCAUUGUAUGUAUCUAUUUUCACUAUAUCAUGUUUCAUAAUCUUUGUAUGUUUAGUAUUGUAUGAGAACCCUAUGAAUAAUUUAGUACUAGUUUGUGAGAUAGUCACUACCCUUUAUGGAUGAUCAGUAAAUCCUCUCCGGAAGUGUAACCAGAGUCUCCUGGAGGGAGAGCGAGGAAUUUGUGAAUAGACCUAUUCGAGACUGUCAAUCCCACACCUUAACUGCUAACUACAGUUAGGCGGGCACGCCUGGGGUGACAAAUUCUAGAUAUCGUCCGACGUCUGACUAACGUCAAGGAGGUCUCGUUGUCGUAUCAGCAUGGUUACCCGACUCACAAUAUGUAUUAAUAUAAAUUUAUUCACAGAUGGGAUUUUGUUUAGAAUCUAUAUCUUAUUCGGGAUGAAAAUCCCAUGGUUUUGUAUCUAUAUCUCGUUCGGGAUGAUAAUCCCAUGGUUUUGUGUCUAUAACUUGUAUGUGAUGGUAAUCCCAUGAGUUUAUCCAACUAUCUUAUAUCAAAUUCGGGAUAGUGAUCCCAUGGUUUUAUCAAACAAUCUUAUAUCUGAUUCGGGAUAGUAGUCCCAUGGUUUUCAAUCUAUAUUUCCUAGUAUAUCAAACUAUCUUGUAACUUGUUCGGGAUGUUAGUCCCAAGGUUUUGAAAAUACUUUCUAUCUACAUUUCGUGUAUAUUAUAGUAUUCUUGUCUAAUUCAUGAUAGUAAUCCUAUGAUUUUCAAUAUAUAGUUUUGUGUAUUAAACUAUACUCUGUGUUAUUCAAUCAAUCUUGCAUUUAGGAAAAUAUGGGAUUUUCCUGGGGUUAACUUAUUAACGCGUAACUGAACUGUAUUGAAAGAUAACAAAACUAUUUAACAUAAGAAAAUAUGGGAUUUUCUUGGAUAACAAACCUUUUUGGAAAACUAAAGGAAAUCGAUACAUUUUCAUAAAACAAAACCGCUUAUGAACUCACCAGCUUUAUGCUGAUUUUCAAACUGCUUGUAUUCUCAGGUCCAAGUUAGAUAGGUACCCGAUGAUAUCUUUUGUUGAAGACGGAGUGCUCAGAAGACUCGUCUCGUUUUGUUCAUAUAAUAUAUGUAUAACUUUUGUACAAUUUACUUUUGAACCAAAUGUAAACUUUCAUAUAUAUGUAAUCUAAUGGUUGUUUACUGUGAUUACUAUGUACAUUGGAUUUGAUACACAACUUGGAGUCAACCCCGGAAACGUUUCCGCCUUUGGUUUUCGGGGUGUGACAGAUUGGUAUCAGAGCCCUUGUUUAUAGUGAACAGAGUAUACCAAACCUUACAUGGUAUAAAACUAUAAACAUUAAGGGGCCUAAGUGCUCUGAACUAAAAGUAUCCUACAAAAUAUAAGUAUUUUCAAAAGUAUUUAAGUAUGCCGAGCCGUCGAAAUCCGUAACUACAAGUAGAACAAAACAUAAGUAAAUGGGUGUUGUACGCUGCGGUUAAACCUGGGCAGUUAUGUAGUCGUGUCUAGGGUCAAUAUAGCCUGGCCAACUAUAUUCAUUCGAGACACGGCCAACAUAUGCUUGGGAGUGACUGUGGUAUGCGGCAUACCUAAAACUUACCCAAUAUCCCAAACAACAAAUCGUCGCUGCAGCGAACCAUGAAAUACUAUGGGAGUAUUUCUCGAGCCGAUCCUUUGUAGAAAUUCUUGUAUACGCGUUAUUCCUUGAUUAUUCCUCUAGCGAUAAAAUGUUCUAUCUUGAUAACUCCUUUCUACUUUAUCGCUUAGUAUGAUGCUAUAUUUGCCUUGAUGAGAUAUCUCCUGUCCCAUAUCUCUUGAUUCAAUUCAGAGGACUUAUGAUCCUCUCUUUCCUGAUCUUUUUAGAUCAAGAUGCCUCCAAGAAAGAGACCCAGCUCAAGGAACAACAACAAUCCUCCUCCGCCACCACCUGCUCCUCAACUUGAUCUUGCAUCACUUCAGACAGUUCUGACUGGUGCAAUGGUAGCAGCCAUGUCGCAAAUGAACUCUGGUAAUUUAGGAGGUGGUCCCCAACCCCAAAACCCAGAAGAUAGCCAGGGACACCAAAAAGGGGGUUCCUAUAAAGACUUCAUGAACGCGAAGCCCACAUCCUUUGAUGGCACAGGGGGUGUCAUUUCUUUAACCCGAUGGUUCGAGAAAAUUGAAUCAAUCUUUGAAAUAUGCGCCUGUUCGGAGUCUGAUAGAGUCAAGUUUGCCGCCUGCACCUUCCUAGACAAAGCCCUGACUUGGUGGAAUGGCCGGGUCAAAUCUUUAACUUUACCUGUAGCUAAUGCUAUGGGUUGGGAAGCUAUGAAGGAGCUUCUACUCGUAGAGUAUUGCCCUCGGGGCGAACUUCAGAAGCUAGAACACGAACUUUGGAACCUUAAGAUGAAGGGUUCCGACAUAGCCACUUAUACCUCAAGAUUCGAUGAUCUGGCGUUACUCUGUCCGGGAAUGGUUACCCCGGAGAGUAAAGAGAUUGAGAGGUUCAUCUGGGGGUUGACCCAGCCAACAAAAGGAAAUGUCUUGGCUGCAAAGCCAGACACAUAUGACAGUGCUAAGUGCCUUGCGAAAAUCUUGAUCGAUCACGAAGACAACUCGGAUGAGGAAGCUACUACCCCCGAGCCAGUCACCAGUGGAGGCGGAAGCAAAAAGAAAUCCUGGAACAAGCGGAAGGCCCAGAGUACGCAAGGGUCUUCUAAGAAAUAGCAAACAGUAGCAGUCCAUGCUGCUACUGCCCCUGUUGUUGUUUCAGCUGUUGGUUCCACAGCCCAAACUCCCGCCAGUGGAUACACUGGUACCCUUCCUUGGUGUAGUAAGUGCAACUACCACCACCACAUUCCUGGUCCAUGUCGCGAAAGGAUCUGUGAUAAUUGUGGCAAUAAGGGCCACCUUGCUCAAACCUGCAGAAAACCAGCCAAAUCAACGAACCAAUCAUCCGGAGCGGGAAUCAGUCCGGCUUGUUACAAUUGUGGUGAAGCUGGGCACUUCAAAAGGAAUUGCCCCAAGGCAGCUACGACCACCGAUCCCUCUGUCGCUGCAGGUAUACUUCUCUUUGAAAAUUGUUAUACCUGCAACUCUUUUUGAUUUUAGUACAAAAAGGGAAAAUUUUCAUCUAUCUAUUCGAACAUUUUCUAAACUCAAUCCUUCGUAUGUAAUCGAAAUGUAUACCGUCAAGACGACUAACUAGUGAGAUAGAGAACACUAACUUCGUACCUAUAGAUUAAAUCCUUAGUCCAGAGGACUACUCUGUUACAUUCGAUCUAAAAAGGGGAAACUUUUCACGAAAAUACUUUGUUGCUAUGCUUAACAUGAAAUGACCGAGUCUCAUUCAUUUUGUUAUCCUUGGUUUCGAAAGGGUCGCUCGUCUAGAUCUUUUCCUCGACCCUAUUCUUGUGACUUUCGGCAUCAAACCUUCGUAUCAUUCCAUGCCUUAGAACUCAAAAGUUUUUCCCGAUAUGAAUUACCACACAUCCCUCGUUUCUGUGAUCAUUGAGAAACGGGAAGUUAACAGCUCUUUCCUCUAAAUGUCUAUCCCGAAGGAUACCCGGGAGUUUUUUUCGAACGUCUAGUUUAGUCUCACAUCAGACCAUUCGAGAUCUUCGUAGAAAUCGAUUCUGCAAUCUUCAGGUUUCAGAUGCCUUUAGAGCUUGAUAACAUCUAUCCAGACCAUCAUAUCUCAAAUCCUUAGAAGCAUCUACCCAACGAAACCCUAGUGAUUCCUUGAGGAAACCGAAUUCGUCCAGGGUUGGAACUUCCAUGAGAGGACCGAUUGAUAUCAUAAAUUGAGAGAGAGUCAAGGUGCGAAACAAAGACACGUCCCGAUAAUGAGAAUUCGUUAGAACGCCCAGUAGAGACCAGAUUCCGCUUGAGAAAGUGAAGAUCCGAGGCAACAAAUCCAUUCGUGUCUCAUUCCAAUUCAUGAUCUGUAUCUUAUUCUUUGAAUUUCGGGAUGAAAUUCCGUCUAACGGGGGGAUAAUGUAACAACCCGAAGUUGUUCAUCGCCGAAAACCCAUUCUAACCAUAUAACUCGCCGUCUGUCGAAACGUUCCGAUUUCGUUUUUGGGUUUAGUUAGUUAAAUUUAUAUGUUUAUUUUAAUUCAAUGAGUGUCCAAACCAUUUAGAAACUCAUGAAUUUAGCCCAAAAAUAUUCUGCCGGGUGACGGAAACUUAAUCGGGUGCGACCUAAAGCCUCGUUUAAGGCCGGUAUCGGGUAGAAUUCCAUCUUUUCCAAGUUUUGGGAACUAUAUAAACGUGUUAAACCUUUCAUUUGAAGCUUUUUCCCUCUCUCCCUACUCUUUCUCUAACCUCUCUCCUAAAUCCAAAGUUUAAGGGUCCAAAACUCAAUUUUAAGGCCUUAAAUCCCUAAGGUACCUUCCUAACCUUAAUGUAUAGCAUAUUGGGCUUCUAAAUUAGGGAUUUAAUCAUGAUUUAAGACCUUGUAUAUGAUUUUACGGCCCUGGAAGGAGCUUAGGCCGUAAACUCAUAAUAAGUGGGUUUUUAAGCCAUAAAACCCUUCCUAAACACAAUUGGACUUUAGAUAUGGCUAAGUGACUUCAUGGAAUGGACUUAGAACAUUUAAAACAUGGAUUUUGAUGGAUUUGAAGGAGUUUACGGCCAAGGCACAUGCUUGGGCCGUAAACUCAUAUUUAUGGGGUUUUUGUGACCUUAAACCCUUCCAAAUCACUUAUAAGGCUUAGAUAUGAAUUUUAGGAUAAUGGUUUUAGCAUUUGGACACUUGAAACAUAAUUUUUGAGGGAUUAUUGUGAGUUUACGGCCAAGGUAAGUGCUUGGGUCGUAAACUCCUUGAAACAUGGUAUAAAUUCAUUUUAAGGUGUUAGAAAUGCCACUUUAACACCCCUAAAGCCUUAGAAUAAUUUUUAGAAGUGUUACAAACAAGUUUUUGGCUUUAAAACACAUGGAAUCACUCUAUAAGAGAGUUUACGGCCAUGAGGGGGGUCUCAUAGGCCGUAAACUCCAAAAACUCCUCAAAUGUCCCAUAAAAUCUCAUGUAAGGCCUUGAAAUAAUUUUAGCAAUCACAUGUGAUUUGUUUGGAAUCCAAAAACACAAUUUUUCAUGGGUUUAUAGGAGUUUACGGCCAUGAGUCCUAUGCUAGGCCAUAAACUCCCUUAAAUGUGUCUAUUUGGUGUUUAAUAAUUAUUCCAAGCCCUUACAACAAAGUCUAACAUUUAUCCCUAAGUGUUUCAAGCCAAAUUGUGCCAUAAAUCACCCCACCAUGACUUUACGACCGUAAACUCAUGGGGAGGGUGUCAUUAGGGCCGUAAAAUCCCUAAGGAGUAUUCUUUGGGAGUCCCAAUUCAAUAUCCUAGCUAUAUGUGUCCCCAAAUGUCACCCGGGUCCCUCCAAACACUUGCAUCGGGGUGUUUUCACGACUAGAAGAAAUUGUCCCUAUCAUAUAAUUAAUCUAAGUCCUAAUUAGAUACAAAUGUGUAUCUUUACAUUAUACUUAGGAACCUCGUGUGUUUGCAAGCCCCGGACCAACACUUAGCAUCCAAAUCGUCACAUUUCUCGUCCGGUGAGUUCAUACCCCUACGCCCUUUUCCGUGUUUUUCAAUGCUUUCAGGGGGGAAUACAAGCAAACUGUAACUAUUUUCAAAUCAUAACAUUGAUGNGGGGGAAUACAAGCAAACUAUAACUGUUUUUGAAUUAUAACAUUGAUGUGUUUCAAAUAAUAUCUGGCAAACUUAUAAACACCUUUACUCCUUAUGUAUUAUGUUCAGCAUAAGGAAUGAUUUACCAAUUACAACUAAAUGGAUUUUAGUUAAGAAAAUAACCAAACUAAUCAAAUUAUUAUGGGAAUAAUUUGGGGUUCUUUAACGUUUGUUUUAUAUCUAUAUAAAGUUAUUAGAUAAACUAUGUCUGAUU
This 6144-nucleotide long non-coding RNA is filed under the name Lactuca sativa (garden lettuce). RNAcentral describes it as "long non-coding RNA (LSAT_LNC000572)". The record is from RNAcentral. Lineage: Eukaryota; Viridiplantae; Streptophyta; Magnoliopsida; Asterales; Asteraceae.